UGAUGUGAGGGGGAACUGACAGUAACAUCUGUUACUCCAUUGAUGGCCAGGGUCAGUUUGGUUGAGCUGGCUGGCUAGGCAGGUGUGUCUUCCCUCUCUUACUGUUCCAUGUAUGUCCCUCCUGAGGCUCCAGAGCUGGUUGCCAGCAGAUGACCUUCCCCAACAGAGGAGGACAGUUCUUCCAUCAAGGGUGAACCAGAGCUGUGCUUCCUGCUAGAACUUCUAGAACAAGCUCUACAGAGUAGAAGAGUAGAGGUUCUAGGAUAUAUUAUGGAUUUCAGGGACAGGGCUUUUCUAGCUUGCUUUCUUUG
This is an unclassified non-coding RNA of Cricetulus griseus (Chinese hamster), 311 nucleotides long. Its record names the gene 7SK. It matches the Rfam family "7SK RNA". From Rfam's summary of the family: 7SK was discovered as an abundant small nuclear RNA in the mid-70s but a possible function has only recently been suggested. Two independent studies have found that 7SK RNA binds the CDK9/cyclin T complex (known as elongation factor P-TEFb). NCBI's taxonomy places the organism in Eukaryota, Metazoa, Chordata, Mammalia, Rodentia, Cricetidae. The record is from Ensembl.